AAAUUUGUAGUAUUUUUUCUUUCUCUUUUUUUUUUUUUUUUACGUUCGGUGAUUUUCAUCAAAGAUGUGAAGGUUUUUUUUGUAGGAAAUAUUUAUUUCCAAUUUUUUCGUAGGAAAUUAUCAUGUUUUCUUGUAGUGAAAUAACAUAUAGGCUAAUGACGUGAUUAACGACAUCCUUACUAUAGUAAAAGAGAAGUAUACAGGGAUUCGGGUUGGAUUUUUUAAAGAAUUCCGGGUUAAAUGUUUAAUCGGGUUUACAAACAUAUCAAACAACUAAA
RNAcentral lists this long non-coding RNA (278 nucleotides) under Capsella rubella. Its description in RNAcentral is "long non-coding RNA (CRUB_LNC001735)". The record is from RNAcentral. Lineage: Eukaryota; Viridiplantae; Streptophyta; Magnoliopsida; Brassicales; Brassicaceae.